CAAGAGUGAACUAGCUAACUGGAAUCAUGAGUGUGUCACUUGUGAUUAGUAAGAGGAAAAUAAUGAUAUCACUUUUACAAAUAGUGUUGUCCAAAGCUGGUGCCAGAAGACUCGGUAAGGCCAGAUACGCGAGCGUUAAUCAUCUUGAACAGGCGUAAAGGGUUUGUAGGCAGCUUUAAAAUAAUUAAAGAUUGAAUCAAAUAGAGGUCAAGAGAAUUUCUAGAUUAGGGUUGAUAUCUAUAAAAACUAGAAGGAAUUCUAAUUAGCGAAGGCACUUUUCUAUCUAAUGAUUGACGCUGAGAAACGAAGGGGAGGAUAGACAAUAGGAUUAGAUACCCUGGCAUCCCUCUCUGUAAACGAUGAAUGGUAGUUGCUAGUAAUAAUUAUUAGUGGCGAUGCUAACGCGUUAACCAUUCCGCCUUGUGAGUACGACUGCAAAGUUGAAAACAAAAAAAUUAGUCGGUUUCGGAGCAA
This 474-nucleotide ribosomal RNA is filed under the name Malajczukia ingratissima. RNAcentral describes it as "SSU rRNA". It matches the Rfam family "Bacterial small subunit ribosomal RNA", at positions 378 to 928 of the family's 1533-position model. The record is from RNAcentral. Lineage: Eukaryota; Fungi; Basidiomycota; Agaricomycetes; Hysterangiales; Mesophelliaceae.